CAAAAUAGGACAGAGACAUGAUCUUUGGCUUGAAAAGGUUCAAAUCUUACAAGAUUUAAUUUCAGUCAAAGCUUCAAGACUUCUCGUCAGCUAAUAAUGGAGCUGAAAUUGUGGCUCCCGAUUCUGAUGGUUUUUGGGAUGGCUGAAUCUCUAGGCACGAGCAAGGACUGGUCCAUAAAAGUGCCAUCAAAAAAUCCCUGUUCUUCAAGGCUCAUGUGUGGUCAUUCCCUGUACGUACAUUUACCCCCGGAUAGAUAGCAUCGAAGACAUGGAAGGGAUACUGGAAGAGACGGGGCACAGUUGUUGCAUCAAAUUUCCCCAAUUUGAAACUAACGCGUGAGUUCAAACAUCGAUCCAGAAUUAGAGGAACCCUUCAAAGCGGCAACUGCACCUGGCAGCUGAAUCGUGUCAGAACAACCGACACUGGUCCGUUUCACUUCAAAAUUGAAAUCCCACAACAUAAAAGCCACAGUUUCUCAAAAAAUAAGGUCACCCUCAAUGUCUUCCGAGUUCCUGAGCCGCCCAUCAUGUCUGUUGCAAUCCAACGUAAAGUGACCGCCACCUGCAAAGUUACUCAUGUCUGUCCAUCAUCUCCUCCCAAAUUCUCCUGGAGCCACUAUGGAAAGAUAAAAACGAAGUCAAAAAAGCUGAAUAAAUGGUUGUGGUCAACAAAGUCGACUCUCACCUUUAUCCCUCACAAACACGACUACAACAAGCCUUUAAACUGCAGCGUAUUGUUCAAAGGCAAUAAGACUACAAAGGGCUCUGUGCUUCUCAUCAAGUAGAGUGUCAAGUGAAACUAAAUACGGAGUACUAAAUUAGAGCAAUAUUUUUAGAGCUAUCUGCCAUGAUGACAAAGUGAUUUUGCAGAAAAAGGCCUGAAUUAGUAAAAAAAAAAAAAAAAUGUAUACGGACAAGAAAUGCUUAUUGUUGCAUGCUUUGAUUCAUAUUACCUUUUGAGUUUAACUUUACCUAAAUCUUUCAAAAACGUGUUGGAGGCACAAAUGUUAGAAUUUUUUUUUUUUACCUUUGAUUAUUUUCUAAUAGGUUUUAUGGAUUAAUUUUGUUUAGCUGUUUUCUUUUACUCUUCAUAAACUGCAAGAUCAUACACUGACUAUUAAAUAUACAUCAUAGUCCAAAGUCUACAAGUUUCCUUGUUUCUUUGUAUUAAAGCUUUCAUCAAAGUGCUAAGAUUAUGACAUUUUUGUGUUUUUUCUCUCU
This is a long non-coding RNA of Poeciliopsis prolifica (blackstripe livebearer), 1221 nucleotides long. RefSeq lists it as uncharacterized. The transcript has 4 exons. The record is from RefSeq and is a predicted model, not a curated record. Lineage: Eukaryota; Metazoa; Chordata; Actinopteri; Cyprinodontiformes; Poeciliidae.